This is a regulatory RNA element of 119 nucleotides. It matches the Rfam family "SAM riboswitch aptamer (S box leader)". From Rfam's summary of the family: The SAM riboswitch is found upstream of a number of genes which code for proteins involved in methionine or cysteine biosynthesis in Gram-positive bacteria. The SAM riboswitch acts at the level of transcription termination control. The record is from Rfam.
AACCUAUCAAGAGUCAGGGGAGGAAACUGGUCCAUUGAUCCUGCGGCAACCAUACUCUAUUUGUUAUUCCGAGUAAAGGUGCUAAAUCCAGCAAACGAAACUUGUUUGAAAGAUGGGAA